Triticum aestivum (bread wheat) is the source of this 115-nucleotide non-coding RNA. The record is from Rfam. NCBI's taxonomy places the organism in Eukaryota, Viridiplantae, Streptophyta, Magnoliopsida, Poales, Poaceae.
CAUGUACUCCUUCCGUUCGGAAUUACUUGUCUCAAAAAUGGAUGUAUCUAGAACUAAAAUACAUCUAAAUACAUUUAUUUUUAGGACAAAUAAUUCCGAACGAAAGGAGUAAAAA